AGGGCUUGGCGGCGUGCUAUACAUGCAAGUCGAGCGGACAGAUGGGAGCUUGCUCCCUGAUGUUAGCGGCGGACGGGUGAGUAACACGUGGGUAACCUGCCUGUAAGACUGGGAUAACUCCGGGAAACCGGGGCUAAUACCGGAUGGUUGUUUGAACCGCAUGGUUCAAACAUAAAAGGUGGCUUCGGCUACCACUUACAGAUGGACCCGCGGCGCAUUAGCUAGUUGGUGAGGUAACGGCUCACCAAGGCAACGAUGCGUAGCCGACCUGAGAGGGUGAUCGGCCACACUGGGACUGAGACACGGCCCAGACUCCUACGGGAGGCAGCAGUAGGGAAUCUUCCGCAAUGGACGAAAGUCUGACGGAGCAACGCCGCGUGAGUGAUGAAGGUUUUCGGAUCGUAAAGCUCUGUUGUUAGGGAAGAACAAGUACCGUUCGAAUAGGGCGGUACCUUGACGGUACCUAACCAGAAAGCCACGGCUAACUACGUGCCAGCAGCCGCGGUAAUACGUAGGUGGCAAGCGUUGUCCGGAAUUAUUGGGCGUAAAGGGCUCGCAGGCGGUUUCUUAAGUCUGAUGUGAAAGCCCCCGGCUCAACCGGGGAGGGUCAUUGGAAACUGGGGAACUUGAGUGCAGAAGAGGAGAGUGGAAUUCCACGUGUAGCGGUGAAAUGCGUAGAGAUGUGGAGGAACACCAGUGGCGAAGGCGACUCUCUGGUCUGUAACUGACGCUGAGGAGCGAAAGCGUGGGGAGCGAACAGGAUUAGAUACCCUGGUAGUCCACGCCGUAAACGAUGAGUGCUAAGUGUUAGGGGGUUUCCGCCCCUUAGUGCUGCAGCUAACGCAUUAAGCACUCCGCCUGGGGAGUACGGUCGCAAGACUGAAACUCAAAGGAAUUGACGGGGGACGCGCACAAGCGGUGGAUCAUGUGGGUUUAAUUCAAAACACGCGGAGAAUCUUACCAUGUCUUGACAUCUUCUGACAAUUCUUAUAAAUUGGGACGUCCUCUUCGGGGGCAGAGUGACAGGUGUAGCAUGGUUUGUCUUCUGGUCCUGUCCAGAAAUGUUUGGAUUAUCG
This 1076-nucleotide ribosomal RNA is filed under the name Bacillus subtilis. Its description in RNAcentral is "bacterial SSU rRNA". It matches the Rfam family "Bacterial small subunit ribosomal RNA", at positions 32 to 1088 of the family's 1533-position model. Lineage: Bacteria; Bacillati; Bacillota; Bacilli; Caryophanales; Bacillaceae. The record is from RNAcentral.